GGCGGUAGGCUUAACACAUGCAAGUCGUGCGAGAAAGUACCUUCGGGUGCGAGUAGAGCGGCGGACGGGUGAGUAACGCGUAGGAAUCUACCUAGUAGAAGGGGAUAGCCCGGGGAAACUCGGAUUAAUACCGUAUACCUCCUCAGGGAGAAAGAGGGCUUAGCUUUGAUGCUCUCGCUAUUAGAUGAGCCUGCGUAAGAUUAGCUUGUUGGUGAGGUAAUGGCUCACCAAGGCGACGAUCUUUAGCUGGUCUGAGAGGACGAUCAGCCACAUUGGGACUGAGACACGGCCCAGACUCCUACGGGAGGCAGCAGUGGGGAAUAUUGGACAAUGGGCGCAAGCCUGAUCCAGCCAUACCGCGUGUGUGAAGAAGGCUUUCGGGUUGUAAAGCACUUUAAGUAAGGAGGAAAAGAUUGUAGUUAAUACCUGCAGUCCGUGACGUUACUUACAGAAUAAGGACCGGCUAAUUCCGUGCCAGCAGCCGCGGUAAUACGGAAGGUCCAAGCGUUAAUCGGAAUUACUGGGCGUAAAGCGCGCGUAGGUGGUUUUUUAAGUUGGAUGUGAAAGCCCUGGGCUCAACCUAGGAACUGCAUCCAAAACUAGAUGACUAGAGUACGAAAGAGGGAAGUAGAAUUCACAGUGUAGCGGUGGAAUGCGUAGAUAUUGUGAAGAAUACCAAUGGCGAAGGCAGCUUCCUGGUUCUGUACUGACACUGAGGUGCGAAAGCGUGGGUAGCGAACAGGAUUAGAUACCCUGGUAGUCCACGCCGUAAACGAUGACAACUAGCUGUUGGGAGACAAGAUCUCUCAGUGGCGCAGCUAACGCUUUAAGUUGUCCGCCUGGGGAGUACGGCCGCAAGGUUAAAACUAAAAGUGAAUGACG
This 882-nucleotide ribosomal RNA is filed under the name gamma proteobacterium SCGC AAA298-D20. RNAcentral describes it as "SSU rRNA". It matches the Rfam family "Bacterial small subunit ribosomal RNA", at positions 38 to 915 of the family's 1533-position model. Lineage: Bacteria; Pseudomonadati; Pseudomonadota; Gammaproteobacteria. The record is from RNAcentral.